UGCUUACCUGUGAUGUUGAAAAAUAAUUGUCUGAACAAAUGACUUCGGUAUGAUAUCAGUAUUUUCUCUGAGGUAAGCG
This is a small nucleolar RNA of Notolabrus celidotus (New Zealand spotty), 79 nucleotides long. RefSeq annotates it as small nucleolar RNA SNORD72. The transcript has a single exon. NCBI's taxonomy places the organism in Eukaryota, Metazoa, Chordata, Actinopteri, Labriformes, Labridae. The record is from RefSeq and is a predicted model, not a curated record.